AAAAAAAAAAAAACUUCCUGUCUCAAGACUGAAAGAACGAUGGUGCAGAUCAGGAAUACAUAAUUGCAAACGGGCAGAACCGACAAUGGCACAAUUUUUAUUGAGACUUUUUUAAAACUCCUAGAAGCUGGAACAUUUUUGUAAAGAUUACGUGAUUUCUAGAUUUGAAGAUAUUAUAAGCUCCUUAACCACAGCACGAUGGCUAACAGUAUGUUUCCGAAUCGAUAUAUUUCAAGUUGAAAAGUGAAGUAAUUUAAAGUUCUGACAAUAUGAGAUCCCGGAGUAAUAGGUCUAAUUUGGAACAGCCCGAACACGUCAGGCCGAUGCCUCAAGUCGUCCGAUUCGGUAUAUUUAAAAUACUCCUUGUCGUCGUGCCCGGCCUCCUCAUGGGCGGUUAUCUCGGAGCUCAUAUAUCGAACCUUCUGGAAGAAGAGGAACUCGUCGAUGCGCAUGUAGAAUCACAAUAAUUCUUGUUUAAAAAAUCCCCAAAUACAAAUAUGACAACGUAAA
Molecule: long non-coding RNA, 510 nt
Organism: Cimex lectularius (bed bug)
Lineage: Eukaryota; Metazoa; Arthropoda; Insecta; Hemiptera; Cimicidae
Exons: 2
Source: RefSeq, a predicted model, not a curated record